This 468-nucleotide ribosomal RNA is filed under the name uncultured bacterium. RNAcentral's name for it is "partial 16S ribosomal RNA". It matches the Rfam family "Bacterial small subunit ribosomal RNA", at positions 28 to 507 of the family's 1533-position model. The record is from RNAcentral.
GACGAACGCUGGCGGCGUGCUUAACACAUGCCAGUCGAACGGAAAGGCCCUGCUUUCGUGGGGUGCUCGAGUGGCGAACGGGUGAGUAACACGUGAGUAACCUGCCCUUGACUUUGGGAUAACUUCAGGAAACUGGGGCUAAUACCGGAUAGGAGCCCCUGCUGCAUGGUGGGGGUUGGAAAGUUUAGGCGGUUGGGGAUGGACUCGCGGCUUAUCAGCUUGUUGGUGGGGUAGUGGCUUACCAAGGCUUGGGAGGGUAGCCGGCCUGUGAGGGUGACCGGCGACAUGGGGACUGAGGUACGGCACAGACGCGUACGGGAGGCAGCGGGGGGGAAUAUUGCACAGUGGGCGGGAGCCUGAUGCAGAAGCGCUGCGGGCGGAAUGACGGCCUUCGGGUUGAAAACAGCUUCCGCCUGUGACGAAGCGUGAGUGACGGUAAUGAGUAAAGAAGCACCGGCUAACUACGUG